This is a long non-coding RNA of Sebastes umbrosus (honeycomb rockfish), 176 nucleotides long. RefSeq lists it as uncharacterized. The record is from RefSeq and is a predicted model, not a curated record. The transcript is spliced from 3 exons. Lineage: Eukaryota; Metazoa; Chordata; Actinopteri; Perciformes; Sebastidae.
AUAUAAGACUACGGCGUAGACUGUAUAUAAAGAUGGGCAACGUGUCUCCACUUUCUCUCACUGUACAAAAGUGAAGCCAAAAUAUCCCUGAUACGGGAGCUGCCAUCUUGAGAUUUUGACAUAAUUUGGAGCCAGAGUCUGCGCAGUAGUGAUCGGGAGGGGGGGGGGCUGGAGCU